CAAUAGCGUAUAUUAAAGCUGUUGCGGUUAAAAAGCUCGUAGUUGGAUUUCUGGUAGGAUGACUGUGCCCUCAGUAGAGUGUGCGCUGGCGUCUUGCCAUCCUUCUGUUAACCUUUGGGAGCUUCACCGCUCCCUUUGGGGCUCAGAUAUUUUACCUUGAGAAAAUUAGAGUGUUUCAGGCAGGCUAGCGCCGGAAUACAUUAGCAUGGAAUAAUGGAAUAGGACUUUUGCCUCUUCUGUUGGUCAUGGGGUUCGAGUAAUGAUUAAUAGGGAUAGUUGGGGGCAUUAGUACUUCACUGUCAGAGGUGAAAUUCUCGGAUUUGUGAAAGACUAACUUAUGCGAAAGCAUUUGCCAAGGAUGUUUUCAUUAA
This 371-nucleotide ribosomal RNA is filed under the name uncultured eukaryote. Its description in RNAcentral is "partial 18S ribosomal RNA". It matches the Rfam family "Eukaryotic small subunit ribosomal RNA", at positions 592 to 976 of the family's 1831-position model. The record is from RNAcentral.